Molecule: long non-coding RNA, 734 nt
Organism: Canis lupus familiaris (dog)
Lineage: Eukaryota; Metazoa; Chordata; Mammalia; Carnivora; Canidae
Exons: 3
Source: RefSeq, a predicted model, not a curated record
CCUGUCUGCCCUGGCUGCCUCAAAGCUUCCUUCGGUCUUUCUUUGGCUCCUUCACUUUGUGCUUCCCAGUAUUACAGGGCAAUCUUUUGUGUGCAUGUUUUCCCCUUUUGCUCCCCAGAGAGGCUUGUCAAAACUCCUUAUCUGCUGAUGAAUGAAAGGAAUUUCUCCUGUGCGGGCGGGACCUGGUUAAUGCAGCUCUGGCCAGCACGGGUAGGUCACUGAGUUAAGGAAGCUCCAAAAGGCAAAGUGCACUGAGAAUAUCAGAGUUGCUGUCGUGCCAGGAAGUGCCAUCAGCAGGCAUUUUCCUCCAAGCAGAGGGACGGACAAGAAGGAGAGGUCUCCCUGAAGCCCUGAAACUGGCCCAGUUCCUUUGGUUGCCAUCGUCUGGGAUGUCACAGACAUCUGGGCUUGCAUCUUUCUGCGUGACUACCCUAAUCCAGUUUCCAUUUAGCAGCUUCUUGUGCUUUUGCCGUGUCCUCCCAACCAGUCUCUUCAGACAUGUAAGCAGGGCUCGGCAGGGACAGCUCAUGUCUGCUCCCCUUGCUGUGGCAGGACAUCUCCAAGGCUGGAAGCUGGAAUCUUCUGAAGACUUACUUACUCACUCACUUACUCUCUAGUGAAUGCUGCUGGCUAAUUGGCUGAGUCCUUAGCUUGGGUUGUCAGUCGAAAGACUUCCUCACAGCAUGGUAGCUGUAUUAAGUUUUCUGUCACUGCUUCAACAAAUUAAAACAAAC